CGUAAAAGUUUUGAUCGAUGCGAGUGGAACAACACUAUUAGUAUCAUAUUGUGUGUGUGGUGAUAAGCACAGAUCCAAUAUUGUGUUCUAUUAUCGGGAAAAAUUAUUGUUCUAUAUCUAAAUAAUAUAAUCGUGUUCUCUCUACACUUCUAAUUCUACUUAAAAAAACUUUGUAUCGUUGUGUACUACUACUACUAUUUAAUAAGUCAGUGUGUGUAUAUGUUACAUGUGCAAUACAUUUUUUGACAGAUAAUACACGAAUACUACCAACAUUUAGACCAGAACUGUCAUUGUUUUGUUUUUCCUGGUACGCAAAGAAAAAUACUACUACAUGUGAAAAGGAACACAAAAAGUGCGAAAAAAAAAACGAGAAUCACAAUCAUAAUAAUAACAAUAACAGUUAUUCUACAAUAAAUAACAUCUCCUAUUUCAACACUUGUCUUGUUAUCUUUUUUUCCGUGAACGUACUUUCCGCAAGUGUUUGUGUAUUGUUAUUGCAAGAAUAAUAAUAACAUAAGAAUAACACACGAAAAAUAGCCACCAGGCAAUUCGUCUAGCAUCGAUCCGGUGACUUGCCAAAGAAGAAGAAGAAGUUUCUUUUCAACGCUCGUAUCAGCUCAUCUCUGUUGUUAGACAACUACUUUCGGUACUUCUACUCAACUCAAACUAACUAAGCAACUCCAAAAUGGCAGCAUUUGUGGCAAAACAAAUGAUCGGCAAUAAGAUGAGCGCCGUUAAAGGCGCAGUCGGUGGUGAUGGAGAUGACGGUGAUGAGAAUAGCAAAGAGAAGGAAGAGGAAGCCGAACGCGAACGCCAAGAGGCGAUCCGUGAGGCUGAGGAACGACGAAAGGAGAAACAUCGCAAGAUGGAGGAGGAACGAGAAAAGAUGAGACAAGAAAUUAGAGAUAAGUACAAGAUCGUGAAAAAAGAGGAAAUCGUAGAACAAGCACCACCUGAACCAGAUAAUCCACUAAUGAGAAAGAAGAAAACACCUGAAGAAUUGGCUCGUGAGGCAGAGGAAGCUGAGUUGGAUGAUUUUACGAAAUUGAAAAACUCAAUAGAAACACAAGUGAAUGAAAUAAAAACACAAAUUGAGAGCAAAUGUGUUUUGCAGUGAUAUGUUUACAUUAUUACCACUUAUCAUUAAUUUACAAAUAUCAUACAUUUUUUUGUUUUAAUACAUAACUUUAUUAUAAUCAUUAACAUAAUAAGUUCAAUUUAUUCAACAGUUAAUUAUUAAUAAUUAAAAACAUUAUACAAUAAAAAAAAAAAAAAAAAAAUAUUUGCAUAAUUGCGUUCAUUCCAAUUUAGUUAUUUGCUUUUGUAUUUUAUCGAUCGUUUCAACAUGUUAUAAUCCUGAAAAAAAAAUGAUUAUUAAAAAAAACAUAAAAAAAUAAAAAAAAAAUUGUUAUCUUAGUCAUGUGAACGGUUAUUAUUAUUAUUAAUAAUUAAUAAAAAAAAUUAUUAAUGAAUAAGUAAGCAUUAAGUAAUAAUAAUAAUAAAAAAAUAUAUUGACUAAAAAAGUUAGUAUUAGCUGAAUUAAAUUAUAUUAAUAUCAAUUUAGUGUAAGCACGAAUAGAAAUUGAUUUGCGAUUCUAAUUACAUAUGUAUAUAAAGUCUCUUUAAUCAUAAAAACAUAUAGUGCGGUGUUCUUGAACACCCACCGAAAAUGAUUUUGUGAAUAAAGUUCUUUCUUAUACAUAGAGCUCCUCAUUUCUUAUUCAUACAACAGAGAAAAACACAGAAACACAUAAAUUUACACGAAAAACAGCUAGAACGGAAAAAAAUUGAUGAGGGUCCGAUCGAAUCGAUGUCAAGACAGAAGCAAUUUUUAUUAUAUUAUAUUAAUUAAAACAAAGAAUAUAUUAUAUACAUAAAAUAUAUACAAUUCAUGAAAAAAAAAAUACUAAACAAAAACAGACAAAAAAAUUAAUAUUGUUAGAAACAUAUAUGGUUUGACAGCUUAUUUUCACAAAACACCGCAUCAUUGUCCUUAUUAUAUUUAAAGAAAAAAAAAUGCAUAAAGAAGCAAAUAAUACAAAAAAAAACAUGAACCAGCAGCAAUGUAUCUGGCAUUUACAUGCUAGAAUCUAAAAAAAUACAACGAUCAAAGAAAUUAGAAAAAUAUUUGGUUAAAUUAUUUUUUUUCUUCAUUCUUAACCUUUCUCGAAUUAUUCGAAUAAAAAAAAAAAAGUUAAAGCGGAAGCAAAGCAAAAAUAAACCGAAAUUAAAUAUCAUUAUAUUAUUGUUAAAUAAAAAAUUAAUCAUAGAGUGACCGCUAUUAAAAGAAAAAAAAAGUCAAUAUGUGAUCCACAAUUGCAUUAUAAUCGUAUGUUCUUUGUUUAGUUUCCAAAGUAAAGAAAACAUAUAAAAAAAUUAGUAAAAUUCUAUUGUAGUAGUUGCUAUAGAUAACACUUACACUUUCCUGAUGCUAUUUAGCCUACAUAUAUAUUAAUAAUGAAAGCUCUUUUAGUAAAAUUGAGGUGUGUGUCGAGUAGAGAGGUGCGUGUCAUGGAUGUUGCUGAAUUCGCCUCUGCGAGAGACACAGCGAGCUCACACACACCACAAAUCUAAACACUUACUAUAACUAUCAUUAUUAUUAUUAUUCUAUACUCUUAUAUAGUCCUAUAUAUUAUAUAUAAUAUAAAAGAAUGGCGUUAUUUAAAAAAAAACACAUAAAACAAAAAGGAGUUAUACAAUUAUAUAUAUAUAUAAUAAUUAUAUAUUAUGUACCUUGUCGUGCAAGUGUGAGACAAGAAUGCAUAUAAUUAUAAGUAAAUUGACAGAGUUAUUAUUAAUGACUAUUAAAGAAAAACAAAAAAAAUGUUAUAUUUGUCUGCUCCCAGUUAAAAAAAAUAUGUUUUAUUUAUUCCGCAUUUCAAUUUGGAGGUGUGCAAAUUUCGUUGGUCUCCUUUGUGUCGCCUUUAAUACCUUAAUAUAAUCUUAAAAGUUAAUUUAGGCUUAGGUUUAGCGGGCAGGCACAAGCAGCCUUCUUAGACAGAUGAUGAUAUAUUAAAUACGACAUCAGUUGAUCAUAUCAUACAAUAAUUCAGUGAGACAUUUUACAACAACAACAACAACAAAAAUAAAGUACACAAAAAACUACCCAGAACAACUAGAAUUAUUAUUACAACAACAACCAACAAACAACAUCAAUGUGAUAGAGUAACGGAGCAAACAUUUAGACAGACAUUGUGUGCGGUUACGUAUUUGCUAAAAUGCGGACAAAAUUAAUUCUGGAACGAAGGAACGAAGAAAAAAAUUUGCAUGUUUCAUGCAAUUUUUCUGUUGUUACUUGAGAAUUACACCACAGAAAAAAAAACACAAGACAAAUAAAAAAAAAAUAAAAUAAAUAACAAAAUGAUUAAACACAGAAAAAAU
Molecule: RNA transcript, 3381 nt
Organism: Culicoides brevitarsis
Lineage: Eukaryota; Metazoa; Arthropoda; Insecta; Diptera; Ceratopogonidae
Gene: cpx
Gene name: complexin
Exons: 7
Source: RefSeq, a predicted model, not a curated record